CUAAACGAAUAACAUCAAAAUAAAUAUUUUUGAUAAUUUAAACAAUAUAAAAAAACGUGUCGUUAAAUAAACUAAUACUUAAACAAUAAAUAAUUCGAAUAAACAUUAAACGAAACCGUGUUAGACAACAUAGUUUUAAAUAAUUUCCUCUUAGACAUAAAAUUUGAAUUAGUGAUUCUUGGUUAUGUGCAAUAUCAAUAAAAUCGGAUCUUUGAUCGAUAUUUACAUUAUUAUUGCGUUAUUUUGUCUUGGAUUCCGACGAGAGAACAUAGAAAUUCUCAUAAAAUGUCUUUCUUACAAAAUUUCAAUUUUCUUAGAUUCUGUGAUGUCAACAAAUUCGAACGUUGAUCGACUUUGAUUGUUACUGCAUCGGUCUCAUUGUAUAUUUCAACGAGCAUACAUCGUAGUUCGCGCAGAACGCGUUUUCCGCAAAUAACAAAGAGUUAAGGUAAGUACAUAAUUAUAAUACUCACUCUUACAAUAUGCGAAUUAUUUUAUUUUAGAAUUACAUGGUGAAGUGGGGAUAUUCUCCCACUCUUGGCGACAAUAUAAGCGGACCGAUAGUUUCUGGUUUAGUCUUACCUCGAAUUUCGACGAGUGAGCAUCGCUGUUUUCAUAGUACGCGUUCUCCACAAGUAAUAACAAAGAGUUAAUAAUGAAAUGGUGUAGUGGGGAUAUUCUCCCACUCGUGGCGACAAUAUAAGCGGACCGAUAGUUUCUGGUUUAGUCUUACCUCGAAUUUCGACGAAUGAGCAUCGCAGUUUUCAUAGUACGCGUUCUCCACAAGUAAUAACAAAGAGUUAAUAAUGAAAUGGUGUAGUGGGGAUAUUCUCCCACUCGUGGCGACAAUAUAAGCGGCCCGACAGUUUCUGGUUCAGUCUUACCUUGAAUUUCGACGAGUACGCAUCGCAGUUUUCAUAGUACGCGUUCUCCACAAGUAAUAACAAAGAGUUAAUAAUGAAAUGGUGUAGUGGGGAUAUUCUCCCACCCUUGGCGACAAUAUAAGCGGCCCGACAGUUUCUGGUUCAGUCUUACCUUGAAUUUCGACGAGUAAGCAUCGCAGUUUUCAUAGUACGCGUUCUCCACAAGUAAUAACAAAGAGUUAAUAAAGAAAUGGUGUAGUGGGGCUAUUCUCCCACCCUUGGCGACAAUAUAAGCGGCCCGACAGUUUCUGGUUCAGUCUUACCUUGAAUUUCGACGAGUACGCAUCGCAGUUUUCAUAGUACGCGUUCUCCACAAGUAAUAACAAAGAGUUAAUAAUGACAUGGUGUAGUGGGGAUAUUCUCCCACUCGUGGCGACAAUAUAAGCGGCCCGACAGUUUCUGGUUCAGUCUUACCUUGAAUUUCGACGAGUACGCAUCGCAGUUUUCAUAGUACGCGUUCUCCACAAGUAAUAACAAAGAGUUAAUAAAGAAAUGGUGUAGUGGGGCUAUUCUCCCACCCUUGGCGACAAUAUAAGCGGCCCGACAGUUUCUGGUUCAGUCUUACCUUGAAUUUCGACGAGUACGCAUCGCAGUUUUCAUAGUACGCGUUCUCCACAAGUAAUAACAAAGAGUUAAUAAAGAAAUGGUGUAGUGGGGCUAUUCUCCCACCCUUGGCGACAAUAUAAGCGGCCCGACAGUUUCUGGUUCAGUCUUACCUUGAAUUUCGACGAGUACGCAUCGCAGUUUUCAUAGUACGCGUUCUCCACAAGUAAUAACAAAGAGUUAAUAAUGAAAUGGUGUAGUGGGGAUAUUCUCCCACUCUUGGCGACAAUAUAAGCGGCCCGACAGUUUCUGGUUCAGUCUUACCUUGAAUUUCGACGAGUACGCAUCGCAGUUUUCAUAGUACGCAUUCUCCACAAGUAAUAACAAAGAGUUAAUAAAGAAAUGGUGUAGUGGGGCUAUUCUCCCACCCUUGGCGACAAUAUAAGCGGCCCGACAGUUUCUGGUUCAGUCUUACCUUGAAUUUCGACGAGUACGCAUCGCAGUUUUCAUAGUACGCGUUCUCCACAAGUAAUAACAAAGAGUUAAUAAUGAAAUGGUGUAGUGGGGAUAUUCUCCCACUCGUGGCGACAAUAUAAGCGGCCCGACAGUUUCUGGUUCAGUCUUACCUUGAAUUUCGACGAGUACGCAUCGCAGUUUUCAUAGUACGCGUUCUCCACAAGUAAUAACAAAGAGUUAAUAAAGAAAUGGUGUAGUGGGGCUAUUCUCCCACCCUUGGCGACAAUAUAAGCGGCCCGACAGUUUCUGGUUCAGUCUUACCUUGAAUUUCGACGAGUACGCAUCGCAGUUUUCAUAGUACGCGUUCUCCACAAGUAAUAACAAAGAGUUAAUAAAGAAAUGGUGUAGUGGGGCUAUUCUCCCACCCUUGGCGACAAUAUAAGCGGCCCGACAGUUUCUGGUUCAGUCUUACCUUGAAUUUCGACGAGUACGCAUCGCAGUUUUCAUAGUACGCGUUCUCCACAAGUAAUAACAAAGAGUUAAUAAAGAAAUGGUGUAGUGGGGCUAUUCUCCCACCCUUGGCGACAAUAUAAGCGGCCCGACAGUUUCUGGUUCAGUCUUACCUUGAAUUUCGACGAGUACGCAUCGCAGUUUUCAUAGUACGCGUUCUCCACAAGUAAUAACAAAGAGUUAAUAAUGAAAUGGUGUAGUGGGGAUAUUCUCCCACUCUUGGCGACAAUAUAAGCGGCCCGACAGUUUCUGGUUCAGUCUUACCUUGAAUUUCGACGAGUACGCAUCGCAGUUCUCAUAGUACGCGUUCUCCGCAAGUAACAGAGAAGAAGUAAUAUUCAAAUUGGGAGUAGGGAUACUUGGCCUCGUGAGAUGAUAACAAAGUUGGACCUUUGACCGACUAUUACAGUUAUUAGUUCAGUUGUGUUUUGGACUUUGACGAGAGAACUUAGAAAUUUUCGCUGGAUGCCAUUUCUACAAGUUUGAACGAAGACUUAAAAACCUCAUUGCAGUCGCGCGCGUAGCAAUGAAGUAAUCGAGUGUUUGUACCGCUAAAAUAAAAAUAUCGCGAAGUAGAAGCAGUGUUUGUGCGUCCGCGGUUCGCGAUUUAAACCAUAAGUGUUUUUGCAUAGACUGCGAGCAAUGCAGUCUUUAGAGUCAGUGUUUGUUCGCGUAGUUUUUUGAUUUUUUGACAGUCGCACAGACUGUACUUGUAAAAUGUAGUAGUGUUGCGUUAAGUAAAUUCAGUGACCCUUCGUUAAUAAGUAACUACCGCGAAUUAGAGUCAGUGCAUCACUGAAGAGGAUCUCGACCAACUUCGAUGUCGACCUACCUCAUUUUCAACCAACUACGAAUCAUCCACCCUCAAUUUCGACCUAAAUCGCGGUCGAGUGUUUUGGAGCCAUCGCAGAACUUCUUAAGUAGUUAGAUCAUCGAGGGAUCGAUCAUCGUGAAAUUAAAUUUUUACAGGGAAGUAUUAAUUGUACAUUUGUUUUUUUCAGUUUAUUUAAUUAUUACUUUAUUUUUUAAUUUAUAUUAUUGUUUAAUGAUAUAUUUGAUUUUAAUUAUUGUAUUUUUUUAAAUUAUUGUUUGACUUUUAUUAUCUAUAUUUGCAUCUAAUUUUGCAUAUAAUUUUUACAUGUUUAUCUUUUCUUCUUUCAUUCUUUUUCUGUUUCAGGUUAGGUGAUCGAGGGACGGAUCAUCCUGGGAUUUCUACACGGAAGUUAAAGGAACCUCUCUGCAUAUAACGUUUGUUAUAUGCAGGGAGGGUAUGUCUCCUUGCUUCCGUACGCGAAUGAUAGGGAAAACACUCACGCGCGUGACGGCCGGCACGCGCGUGGGUGUUCGCGAACGCGAGAUUAAGUCCUACCGAGGACUACGUUUUGAUUUUUGAAAUCGAAAUAGACACGACCGGUCGUGUCUCGAGAUGUCUGAAGCCGACGGUGUGGACGGUGGAGCAAUCUGUAAGCGGGAUUUUAUACAUCUCCAGUUUGCUGAGAAGCCCGAAGCUCCCGAAGCGGAAAGGCAUCUCGGAUCGUGGAACUUAGAGUAGAGUCCCCGUUAGACCGUGGGUCCCCAUAUGCAGCUACCUCCACGCGGUGGGACCU
Molecule: long non-coding RNA, 4039 nt
Organism: Vespula vulgaris
Lineage: Eukaryota; Metazoa; Arthropoda; Insecta; Hymenoptera; Vespidae
Exons: 19
Source: RefSeq, a predicted model, not a curated record